ACUCAUUAUACAAUUAGACAUUGUAAGCCUAUUUAUCUGAUUCGGCCCAACCCGGAUCCAAUAACAAACCAAAUAUUUAGUAGGUAUCCAAAAUAGAUAACUUUCCUAAUCUCUAUCUCUUUCACGCCGCCUAUCACCAUUUUCCUUCGUUUCUUCAAAAUUGGUUUCUUUCGAUUGUUACGCUGGAGAAUCAAUCUUGUAUCGCCUUCUUGUCAAAGCUUCACCUCCAGAUUCAGCUUCCAAUAAUGGCUAAUAUGUUGAAAAAAAUGAUUGGAAAAAAUUUCUUCUCCAAAAGAUAAAAAAAUAUGAAUAAGAAAAGAAAAGCAAAAGAAAUUGCAGAGUCAAGCAAUGUUGACGACGAUGUUGAGAACUCUUCUGCUAAUGAAUCUGAAGAAGACAUGGAGGAAGAGGUUGUAUUUAAGAACAUUGAGCCAACUCAAAGGGAAAUGUCAAAGUUUGAAAUACCAGAGCAGGAUGGAGUUGAUGAUGAACGUUAAGUUAAUUCAGAUGAUGAUUUUCAGGAUCCAUCACCAAAAGAAAUUUAUGAACUCUCAAUGUGACGACGAAGCACCAUUGAGGCCUGUUAGGGAAAGUAAGAUAAUAAGUGUCACAAAAAUAUUUGAAGUCUGAAUGUUGAUGAUUUUAUUACAUUGUGUAGUAACAAGAUUAAACUGAAUGUUGAAAUUAAUUUUAAAAAGUUAUUUUAUGUUUUGAAGUGAAUCAAAGUUACUAAUUGUAAAGUGAAUGUAAUUUAUUCAUUUUUGUCUUUUAUGUUGAA
Long non-coding RNA from Capsicum annuum, 778 nucleotides. RefSeq lists it as uncharacterized. The transcript has 3 exons. The record is from RefSeq and is a predicted model, not a curated record. NCBI's taxonomy places the organism in Eukaryota, Viridiplantae, Streptophyta, Magnoliopsida, Solanales, Solanaceae.